CCCAGGCUGGCUGCUUGUGGAUAUGCUCUCAACUUGCCAGAGCUUGGGCAUGGCACUUUUAUUCUGUUUGGUGUUCCAGAGAUGCAAACUGAGACAUGUGAGAUUGAGUCUUAGAUGUGACUUGUACUAGAAUCUCCCCCCAAAAUAAGUAGGAGGAGAGGAAGGAUUUCUCCCAGAUUCAGGAGCACCACGCCAGCCAGUGGAGCUACGCAGCAGAGACACGCAUUGCUCCAUGUUUGCAGGAGCUGCUCGAAGCCAGGCUGCUGCGCCCACCCGCUGGCAUCUCCUCUCCCUGGCUGCAUGGCUCAGGCUUGUGCAAAGCCCUGGGAGACAACAGCCCAUCCAGGGACAGUCCUAGGGCUGUCUAGCAUCUCAGAGGCUGUGGCAGCACCUUAGAGGCUUGUUUGUCCCUGCACAUGCUUCUGCCUCCUUUUAAGCACGUGUAAAACAUACAGCCCAGCACGCAGUCCUCCCUGUGCAUGCCAGUCCCGUAAGGGCAGUGCACUCGCACGCAGCAGCUACAAUACAUCCACAACCUGUGAGCUCGAACAGGGUGUUUAACCUCUGCUCGGCCCAGCGUGGGAGGAGGAUAAUCAAGCAGGCCUUGUGCCAUCUUACAUGGCUUGUGCUGAGGUGCUCAGAGGUUCGGUGUUCGCUCGGGCGCAGGCUGAGUGCUUGUCACUAGAUGGCAAUGCCAUGAAGUGGUUUAGCUGGGAUAUUUGUGCACAUUAGUUCAAGCUGCACCUGAGGUCCCCUGUAACCUGCUGUUUCUGUUUGGUUUGGCGUGGUCUUCAGCGUCAUCAGUGAAAGCCAUUGCCUCGCUGGCAUUCUCGCAUGUGAGGGCGAUUGGACUUUAAGGUAGUUUUUACAUGUUGUAUUCAACGUUUUGGAUAAGUUUACAACACACUAUAUAACCCUGCAACAUCCUCUGGCAUUUUCUAUUAUUGCUUGAGUCACUGGAUGCUAUAAUUGGCAAGCUUUCAAAGGUCCUGAAUAGAUUAUCUUUCCAUAUCUAUUUAAUACUCCAAAUAAUGCAACCAAAGACCCCUGCAGCUCCAGCUGGGAAAUGAAAAGGAUGGUUAAACCACUUAAUUACUUACUGUGCUAACAAUUAUUUUACAGAAACACAAAGCAGAAUCUAGCUGUUCCAGGGGAAAUCAGGAAGAAGUUAAUAUUGGAGUCAUUCUACAAAGAAAAAACACUGCAGUAGACAGCAUGUGCUGUGCUGACACCUGCGAAGGCAGCGCAGAACCACUCUGCCGGGUGCCACCAGCUCAGCGUGGCCAAGGGCUGGUGACAACUCCACGUUCAUUCAAACAAAGCAGGACACGGUGUUUGGAUUCCUGCAACCACUGUGAAUUCUGCAUGCCCAUUUUGCGAAAUCCUGAACAGCUUCAGCCCAUUAAAACUAGAAGGGGUUUGCGGGGUGGCUGAGUUGGCAGGGGGAGAGAUAAGCUGUGGCAAUUUUGUCCGGGCUGAAGUAGGAUAGUUUGGCUCUUAGCUCCAGAAGGCCCAAGUGCUGCGUGCUGCCUGUCUGUCGCUGUUUGUCCAUCACUCUAAGCUCCUUCUGCAGCUAAACCACCCACAAGCUGGGGUGUGUUCCACCUGCCACGGCUUCCAUCAACCUCUGUAGGCACUUGAGAGCAUGUUUGUGAGAGAGAGACACCCAGUGCAUUCAGAGUUUGGCUGCUCACUGCUGGAGCAGCUCCAGGAUCACUUUGGGGUGAUCUAGGCAGUUCUCAGCAUGUCUAGAUCCUUCUCUGGCUCAUCGCUCUCAGUAUGAAAUACAGGAGCACUCAUGUAACAGGGGAAGACGGUAUUACACACGGCGUCCUGGAGGAGUCAUAUGCACACCAUUUUCUCCUUUUACAGAGCCUUGAUGCACUGGGUGGACUCCACCUCACCCCACAGCAAACAGAAUGACUUUACAGUGCAGCUUCAGGCCAAAUGCAGUGUGCUCCCAAUCUCCCUGUGCUGGCUUUCCAGGGAACUGCCGCCUCUGUUCUUCCAGCCAGGGGAAUCCUGCCUUCCAUUCCUUGCCUACAAAGCCACGUAGCUGAGAUAUGCCCAAAAGCAGAGCUGUGAGUAAAAAGUGGGGCUGCAAAUUCCUAGCCCACUCCCUCAUCUGUUUUAUCAUGGGACUUCUAAACUGCUCAUUGCCCUUUCCAGAAAUGAGGAAAUUAAAUCCUUUUCUGCAAGAAGAGAUGCACACUAUAUGCAACACCAUUGGCUGACCAUUUGAGAAGAAGAAACCUGAAGUCUGCUGCUACUCAUGCAGUGUUCACUUUAAGCAGAGUUUGUUACAAGUCCACAUCUUACAUGUGUUAAAACAAGGCGUCAUCCCCUUUCUUAUAAAGUAAAUGUAUAGGGCCUUGCUCUAAAUGCUACUUUGGCAGCCUCUUUUUCUUACCAUCUGUAAAAUGUGACACCUCUGUCGGUCUUGGAAAGGAAGCUGAGCCUCUGCUGUUCCAAGCAGAGAAAGAAGGUGAUAUUUAUAGUCAACUAACCAUAAAACUGUGACUUCCAGAGCUGCACAUGCUCAAGCCCUCCCCAACCCUCAACUCUAAAUGUCCUUCUUUAUACAGAUUUCUUCAGGAGUCGGUCA
Molecule: long non-coding RNA, 2605 nt
Organism: Gymnogyps californianus (California condor)
Lineage: Eukaryota; Metazoa; Chordata; Aves; Accipitriformes; Cathartidae
Exons: 3
Source: RefSeq, a predicted model, not a curated record